Molecule: ribosomal RNA, 593 nt
Filed under: uncultured Helotiales
Lineage: Eukaryota; Fungi; Ascomycota; Leotiomycetes; Helotiales
Description: eukaryotic LSU rRNA
Rfam family: 5.8S ribosomal RNA (bases 228-381)
Source: RNAcentral
CUUGGUCAUUUAGAGGAAGUAAAAGUCGUAACAAGGUUUCCGUAGGUGAACCUGCGGAAGGAUCAUUACAGAGAAUAAUCGCCCUCACGGGUGACUCUCCAACCCUAUGUUAUUAUACCUUUGUUGCUUUGGCGAGCCGCUUCGGCCACCGGCUCACGCUGGUGAGUGCUCGCCAGAGGACCCCAAACUCUGAAUUAAGUAUUGUCUGAGUACUAUAUAAUAGUUAAAACUUUCAACAACGGAUCUCUUGGUUCUGGCAUCGAUGAAGAACGCAGCGAAAUGCGAUAAGUAAUGUGAAUUGCAGAAUUCAGUGAAUCAUCGAAUCUUUGAACGCACAUUGCGCCCUGUGGUAUUCCGCAGGGCAUGCCUGUUCGAGCGUCAGUACAACACUCAAGCUCAGCUUGGUCUUGAGCCCACCGGUCACCCGGCGGGCUUUAAAAUCAGUGGCGGCGCCAUCUGGCUCUAAGCGUAGUAAUUAAACCCCUCGCUAUUGAGUUCAGGUGGAUGCUAGCCAGCAACCCCCAACUUUCUAAGUUUGACCUCGGAUCAGGUAGGGAUACCCGCUGAACUUAAGCAUAUCAAUAAGCGGAGGA